CCUACGGGCGGCAGCAGUGGGGAAUAUUGCACAAUGGGCGCAAGCCUGAUGCAGCCAUGCCGCGUGUGUGAAGAAGGCCUUCGGGUUGUAAAGCACUUCCAGCGGGGAGGAAGGCGGUGAGGUUAAUAACCUCAUCGAUUGACGUUACCCGCAGAAGAAGCACCGGCUAACUCCGUGCCAGCAGCCGCGGUAAUACGGAGGGUGCAAGCGUUAAUCGGAAUUACUGGGCGUAAAGCGCACGCAGGCGGUCUGUCAAGUCGGAUGUGAAACCCCCGGGCUCAACCUGGGAACUGCAUUCGAAACUGGCAGGCUAGAGUCUUGUAGAGGGGGGUAGAAUUCCAGGUGUAGCGGUGAAAUGCGUAGAGAUCUGGAGGAAUACCGGUGGCGAAGGCGGCCCCCUGGACAAAGACUGACGCUCAGGUGCGAAAGCGUGGGGAGCAAACAGGAUUAGAUACCCUAGUAGUC
This 465-nucleotide ribosomal RNA is filed under the name uncultured Klebsiella sp. RNAcentral's name for it is "bacterial SSU rRNA". It matches the Rfam family "Bacterial small subunit ribosomal RNA", at positions 338 to 795 of the family's 1533-position model. The record is from RNAcentral. Lineage: Bacteria; Pseudomonadati; Pseudomonadota; Gammaproteobacteria; Enterobacterales; Enterobacteriaceae.